GAUGAACGCUGGCGGCGUGCCUAGUACAUGCAAGUCGAGCGAACAGACGAGGAGCUUGCUCCUCUGACGUUAGCGGCGGACGGGUGAGUAACACGUGGAUAACCUACUUAUAAGUCUGGGAUAACUUCGGGAAGCCGGAGCUACUACCGGAUAAUAUAUUGUACCGCAUGGUUCAAUAGUGAAAGACGGUUUUGCCGUCACUUAUAGCUGGAUCCGCGCCGCAUUAGCUAGUUGGUAAGGUAACGGCUUACCAAGGCGACGAUGCGUAGCCGACCUGAGAGGGUGAUCAGCCACACUGGAACUGAGACACGGUCCAGACUCCUACGGGAGGCAGCAGUAGGGAAUCUUCCGCAAUGGGCGAAAGCCUGACGGAGCAACGCCGCGUGAGUGAUGAAGGUCUUCGGAUCGUAAAGCUCUGUUAUUGGGGAAGAACAAAUGUGUAAGUAACUCUGCACGUCUUGACGGUACCUAAUCAGAAAGCCACGGCUAACUACGUG
This 497-nucleotide ribosomal RNA is filed under the name uncultured bacterium. RNAcentral's name for it is "partial 16S ribosomal RNA". It matches the Rfam family "Bacterial small subunit ribosomal RNA", at positions 28 to 507 of the family's 1533-position model. The record is from RNAcentral.